GUUAGAGUAUCUUUUCAGGCUCCUCAGAGCCUCCUCUGUUCAGUCUUGCCGUAUCCUCCGUCUUCUCAUGCGGCAGCACAUCCAUUUUGGCAGUCGUUCCUUUCUCGGAGUUCUCUCUCCUCGUUGCACCACAGCACUUGUCUGGAAAUGUGUCGUUGGAGUUUGUGUUCGGCCUGGAACUGCUCUGCCCUGCAGUGUAGACUUGGGACGUCAGAGGGACUGGAUGUAAAGCAGAGAUAAACAGAAGAGGCCGGAGGAGCACAAUCAGAAGGUGGGUUGUCAUGUGAGAUGCAGAGCCCCCGGCCCAGCAGACAAUAGGCACCAGAGGGAAGGUGAGCCCAGUGAGCAAGGUGAGCAGUG
Neopelma chrysocephalum (saffron-crested tyrant-manakin) is the source of this 360-nucleotide long non-coding RNA. RefSeq lists it as uncharacterized. The transcript is spliced from 3 exons. The record is from RefSeq and is a predicted model, not a curated record. NCBI's taxonomy places the organism in Eukaryota, Metazoa, Chordata, Aves, Passeriformes, Pipridae.